UCAGAGGGGGUCACAUGUGCAAAGCACUUAGGACAGCUCUAGGCACACAGAAGACAGGCAAUAAACACAACAGCAAGUCACGCCCAAGGACCUCUGCGGCUCUCCAGUGGCACAAGUCUGGACUCCACCUAUGGGUCUUUAUGUCCUUCCUUCUCCUAGACUUUCGUCAUGCUGCUGUUUGGUGUGAAAGGGAUUUACUUGACUGAAUUAGCCUGGGAACAGAACCUGCAAAGGCAGCCCGCAGCUUCUAGCACCAGAACAUCUCUUUUAAGCUCUCUAGUGUGCACAGCCCUGCCUUGAAAACCCCAUGGAGAAGGGAGUCUAGGCCUCAAAGAUCCUGAUGCCAAAUGUCAGUGGUGCCGCCUGAUACUCGCAGAUCCAUGCAAGUCCAGCCACAGGGCCUUGUCACUCCGCUGCCAACUCCCUGGGCUUCUGCCUCAGUGUCUGCUGUGAAAGGGGUGACACCUUGUGCUAGAGGAACACCCCAGGGUGCCACUGCUCUUCAGACUGUGUGCAGGGCAGACCCUGGCACAGCCUGGAGCCUCAGCUGGAGUCCCAUGGAGGGACAGGUGCGUCCGAACCCCUCUGUUGGCGGUGGCCAUGUAUCUGUUCCUAUGUCUAGUCUAAUUUACAUCUGUACAAAUAUCUGUAUUGGAUUUAUCUCUACAUCUAAUCUAUAAGGAAUCCACACCCACCCACGCUGGAUCAAUAUCUGCAUCAAGUCUAUGUUUAUAUCUUUUUGUUAUCAGUAACUUAGCAACACGGUGCUGAGGAAGACUGGUUUCAUCUGUAACCUGGCUAGGGGCCAGGCUGUACCAAUGACUAUAUUAAAGGGAAAUUUGGUUGCUCUGGGCUUUAGUUGACCCAUCUGUAAAAUGGGGCUGGGAUUAGUACCUGUUUCAUGGAGUUAUGUUUCCUGACAAAUGAAAUCUAAACUGCCAGGUUCAAAUCCUGCUCCAUUUGCCACCUGUUGUACACGUAACUGAUACUCGUCAUGCCUUGGGUUCCCACCUGUCAAAUGAGGACGGCAAUGACACAUUCCAUAUGGGACAGCAGUUCCUCAUCAGGAAACUGAGAAUGGAAAGAGCAGCGAUGUAAUUGGGGCACCUGAGAAUUCAAUGGGAAAAGCCAAGUCGUGGUCACCUGGUUCCUGGGUAACCAACCUCUGGACCAAAGAAGACUCACCACUUAAAUCCCAGGACAAAUCCCUUCUCAGCUUUGCAUAGGGAUAUUUGAUCAUCUAGGGAGCAUCUCUAGAAGCUGGCCAGACAGAGUUGAUAAGCCCUGGAUCGACGUGAUCUCAUCCACCUUCAAGACUGAGGACACCCAGAUAAAAGGUUUACAGGGACAUUCAACUAUGCGCAGAAGUCUCCAGCCAUUAUCCUAAACCUGUGAUCAUCUGGACUCCAGGAAAAGCAGAGCCCCACCUGACUGAAACCACCACUAACUGAGACAAUCCUUUCCUGGGAAUGGAACCAACCCUCAGCCAGGAUUCCAGAGCUAUGAAGCCAGGACUGAGAUAACAAUCACCUGGACCCCAGCGUGCCAACAGACCCUUCCUUCAAAGCUGGCCUCUCGCACUUGUGGGUGAGCCAGUCUGAACCCCUGUGUCAGACUCUACCUCCUCCACCUACUCCAGCUAAAGUCUUUUCCU
Molecule: non-coding RNA, 1654 nt
Organism: Heterocephalus glaber (naked mole-rat)
Lineage: Eukaryota; Metazoa; Chordata; Mammalia; Rodentia; Bathyergidae
Source: RefSeq, a predicted model, not a curated record